AAAAAGUAGCUUAAAAUAAAGCAUCAGGCCUACAACCAGAGUAUAUUGGCCCUCCAAUCUUUUUGA
RNAcentral lists this transfer RNA (66 nucleotides) under Epictia tenella. Its description in RNAcentral is "tRNA-Val". It matches the Rfam family "tRNA". Rfam says of the family: Transfer RNA (tRNA) molecules are approximately 80 nucleotides in length. Their secondary structure includes four short double-helical elements and three loops (D, anti-codon, and T loops). Lineage: Eukaryota; Metazoa; Chordata; Lepidosauria; Squamata; Leptotyphlopidae. The record is from RNAcentral.